UAGGGAAUCUUCCACAAUGGNGAAGCCUGAUGGAGCAACGCCGCGUGUGUGAUAAGGGUUUCGGCUCGUAAAACACUGUUGCAAGAGAAGAAUGACAUUGAGAGUAACUGUUCAAUGUGUGACGGUAUCUUACCAGAAAGGAACGGCUAAAUACGUGCCAG
This 161-nucleotide ribosomal RNA is filed under the name uncultured bacterium. RNAcentral's name for it is "partial 16S ribosomal RNA". It matches the Rfam family "Bacterial small subunit ribosomal RNA", at positions 355 to 511 of the family's 1533-position model. The record is from RNAcentral.